This is a non-coding RNA of Tetradesmus obliquus, 73 nucleotides long. The record is from the annotation of a GenBank genome assembly. NCBI's taxonomy places the organism in Eukaryota, Viridiplantae, Chlorophyta, Chlorophyceae, Sphaeropleales, Scenedesmaceae.
UCCUCCAUGGUGUAGGCGGUUAGCAUACGAGGUUCUCACCCUCGCGACCCGGGUUCGAGUCCCGGUGGGGGAA